GAGCACUUGCUUGGACAGCUCUUGGACUAAAAUGAGAAUGAUAAAAAAUUAGCAUAGCAUCUGCACAAGGGUGACAUGGAAAUUCCUGAAGCCUUCCAAAGUUUU
Molecule: small nuclear RNA, 105 nt
Organism: Symphalangus syndactylus (siamang)
Lineage: Eukaryota; Metazoa; Chordata; Mammalia; Primates; Hylobatidae
Source: RefSeq, a predicted model, not a curated record